Molecule: long non-coding RNA, 3027 nt
Organism: Brienomyrus brachyistius
Lineage: Eukaryota; Metazoa; Chordata; Actinopteri; Osteoglossiformes; Mormyridae
Exons: 2
Source: RefSeq, a predicted model, not a curated record
GAGAUGCAGCUCUCAGGCUUGAAAAGAACGAGCUCGACCAUAAUGGGCUUCAAAACAAAAUACAUCAAUCAAACUUCCCAGGCCUAAUCCUCAAAGGUUACAUAGGCAAUACAGCUUAAUGGAUAAAUGUUAUUUGUCGGGCUUUCUGAUGCUUCUGAGCUUAAGCCCACUACCCAAAAACACAGCCUGUCUGCCUUGCCUGUACGUUACUUUGGACCGAAACAGAUUCUAAAUAAAUAUAAGUAAAUAUACAGUAAAUUGCCCUUAGAAUACAAACUGACCCGCUAAUUCUAAAAACUCACACUACUGUAUGCACUAAUCUUGAUUUCUUGAAUUAUUACUAAUUAUUUCCAACGGAAAAUGUCAGAUGCAUUGUAAUAAAGUUACAUAUAUACCACCAUCUCUCCCACUUCUGAACACAUGGCCUGACAUUUACUAGUCAAAUGAGAUCCUUUAGGACAUCGACUGAAUGGCUUACGACAGAGGAACUACCCUUCAGGUGUGGUAACCACGGGCAACAGUCAACAUUAGAACACAUUUGACCAAACAUUUGCUCAUAUCUAUUAUGUACUUUUAACCUUGACAGCUCUACUUGCUUAUUAAAGCAGGUGCAGUGCAACAGGAUGUGCUUUUGUAUUCCUAAAAGCACAUGGCUCCAUUGCCGGGUGCCAAUUUACCUACUGUAGAGUCUGUGUUUUUAAGGGGACAUCACUCACGCAGUCGCUGUAAUGACACUUAUAACAAACACAUAAGCAGAGUUGCCCUUUGUGAAGUUCGACCAGGGGGAAAAUGUUAAACAGCCAGCAACUUAAGCAGUUUUAUGUACUAAAGGAAUCUCCGUUCAAACAAUCCAACAAAACUGGCACUUAAACAGUUAACCCCACACACAGUGGGCAUCAACAGGAAAGCUGGGAGGGAAUAGAGAGAGAGAGAGAGAGAGAGAAUUGCGUGCAGAGUGAAGUGUUGAGAAACAAAGAAGCAAGCUGAGGAGCAGCGAGACGGAACAGCUGUAAUACACAACAGGCUAUUAAACCGGCAAUUCGGUCCUGCUUCUAAGACUGACCGAGGCUGAGGAGCUGCCUCUCUCGCUGGUCCCGUCCCUCGGGUUAGCCGCUGGCAGGCAGAACCUGCCCAGCCACCUCCCCUGCUGCCCUGGGGCCCUCCCUCCUGACUCCACUCCCCCACCUUUUCCUGUUUCUGUUCGGCUCGCGACGGCGGCAGCGGCACACGGAUGCCAGCCGAGCUUCAGCCGGCUCGCGGUCGCCGCAGCUGGCCUGGCAUCUCUGUUCUCCGAAGCAGGAGGCGUCGGCUUCGAUUCGGCCGGGCAGAUUUAAUAAAACAUGAGGCUUCCCUUCGUCAUGCGCAGUGUGCUCGGCCUUGGAGAGGCAGCCCGUCACCGCAGUAAGUACGAUUCCGCAGAUACUAUCAAACACUACUUUCCUGUUGGUUCCUAAAACACUUUCCCUGGCAAGACUCUUGUCAACACCAUCCUUCAUUACUUCUUUCUAAAUGUAUUUCUUGUUGAUGAGACUUUUAGUCUAUUUUUGUCUGUCUCUGUCUCUCUCUCUCACUCAGCUUGUAAAACUAAUUCUUCCCACAUGUCUAAGCUCUAUUCCCCCUCGUUGUGAUGAGUAUUUCCCUUGAAAAUCUUCACGAACCUCCUCGCCUUUUCCUUUUUUUUUUACAGAGGUUCAGUUACGUCCGUUUCACUGUUUUUCGUCUCACCCACAGGGUGUCUUUCAGCGACUGAAUGUAGCGUCUUUUUUAAAAAACCUUUAUCGGGACAAAGCACAGAGUAUAAAUGUAUUUGCAGCCUUGUUCUUUAAAGAGCUCGUGACAGCAGCCCGGUGGUGGAUGCCUGAGAGAGAGUGGAUCCCAAAACGAGAAUGACGUACUGCCCCGUCACACGCAUGGACCCAUUGCCAAAACUGCACUGCAACAGUUCAUCGCCUCUCUUUCUAGUGUAAAAAAAAUGUUAAAAUAUUUACAUUAGUAUAUCAUUUAUCAUUUCACUCAGCAUAGCGACAUCUUAUUUUAUCUAGAUAUUCCCUGGAUACAUUUCCUUGUAUGUGUUAUUUGCUAUAUUUUAUCUUUGUGCCCAUGACCUUGUUUUAUCUGCUAAACUUAGCCAAGAGAGAGAGAAACAGAGCGACGGAGCCACAGUUUCUGUAAAGUCACCCUUACGACCAGGCAAACAGCCACACCACACCUUCAACAGCUGCAGGACUAUAGACACGUGGAUCACUGGCACAUGCACAAAGCACAGUGCAGACAAACCCCAACUGCAAAAUCUCUUUCUGACACUGUUAGCGAGGGAGCUAAAAAAGCCGAUUUUAUCAGCUACAGCCCAAACCACUGCGGGUUGUCUAGUGGGCACAAGAGUGUAGAGCACAUGAGCUCUUCUCGCCUGACAGAAACACCUGAGGCAGACUGGAAGGUCUGAUUCUGAAGCAAAGGAAAGUGGCCUGGACUUGUAGCAGUGUAGAGGUGUGACACAAAGGGGACACUGCUGGGUAUCUCAGCUCUACCUGCCAUCCCCCUGACCUCAAUGACACAGCACUUUCCCUAUAAACGUACCAUGAAUGACACUUUUCUUGCGUGCCUGCUUGCAAUUAAUGCACGGUUUUUUAAAGUCACAAAUAAGCAAGAAUACAAUGCUGAAAGGCCAGAAGAGCAGAGACUGAAACGACCAGGCUGCAUAUAAGUCUGGCUGCAGCGGAAGUUCAAGAGAUGGGGAAGACAGAUUAAAUGACCAUGAAAUAAAGAUGGGCAGGACAGACGGACGGCUGAGGACAUAGAGACAAUGCAGGCCACACCCACGCAGGUACAGAGAUUAGGUAACGCUGCACCACACCCAUUUCAGGAAUGCCUUUAGGAAAAAUGGCAGCCUAAAGGUCAAUUGCUUUCCCACGUACAACUGCCAGAUUGUUGUGUAUGUGACAUUUUCCUUACAUUUUGCAUGUAACAUGUAGCACCAAUCCCUUGAUAUACCAAAUUCUAUUUUCACAAAUAAAGUCUCUGAACAUG